AGAUUGAGCUUGCUCUUCUUGGUCACGACCCUUGGUUCCUGUGUUGCCUUCCCAUCGUGUGGAAAAAUUCGUCAGACAGCCCCGCACCUGUCCUCCUUGUGGCUUUGCGGCUGCAAUGCGGACCUCGAAGGCAGUCCCCGUGUCCCGGACAUAUCCUCUGACUUUUGUCGUGGCUGUCUCGGUCCACAGGACAACUGCUCGUGCUCUCGGAUGUGGAAAAUUAAGCGGACGUGGGGGGGUCUUGGCCUCCGGUUGCUCCAAUCAAGUCCCUCGAUAAGAAUGACUCUCGCUACCUCAUUGAUCGCAGGCCGUCUAGGCCCGUGGCAUCAAUGAUGGUCCGAAGUCGAUAACGAAUGCUACCUGGUUGAUCCUG
This 373-nucleotide unclassified non-coding RNA is filed under the name Ficus ingens. Its description in RNAcentral is "partial contains external transcribed spacer and 18S ribosomal RNA". Lineage: Eukaryota; Viridiplantae; Streptophyta; Magnoliopsida; Rosales; Moraceae. The record is from RNAcentral.